This 253-nucleotide ribosomal RNA is filed under the name uncultured bacterium. RNAcentral describes it as "partial 16S ribosomal RNA". It matches the Rfam family "Bacterial small subunit ribosomal RNA", at positions 524 to 776 of the family's 1533-position model. The record is from RNAcentral.
UACGAAGGGGGCUAGCGUUGCUCGGAAUCACUGGGCGUAAAGCGCACGUAGGCGGCUUUUUAAGUCAGGGGUGAAAUCCUGGAGCUCAACUCCAGAACUGCCUUUGAUACUGAGAGGCUCGAGUCCGGGAGAGGUGAGUGGAACUGCGAGUGUAGAGGCGAAAUUCGUAGAUAUUCGCAAGAACACCAGUGGCGAAGGCGGCUCACUGGCCCGGUACUGACGCUGAGGUGCGAAAGCGUGGGGAGCAAACAGG